AUCGCUUCUCGGCCUUUUGGCUAAGAUCAAGUGUAGUAUCUGUUCUUAUCAGUUUAAAAAAUCAGUUCAACAUGAAGAUAUGACUAUAAUAAUGACUAUAUAUAUGAUAUAUAUGACUAUAU
Molecule: small nuclear RNA, 122 nt
Organism: Oryctolagus cuniculus (rabbit)
Lineage: Eukaryota; Metazoa; Chordata; Mammalia; Lagomorpha; Leporidae
Gene: U2
Rfam family: U2 spliceosomal RNA
About the family: U2 is a small nuclear RNA (snRNA) component of the spliceosome (involved in pre-mRNA splicing). Complementary binding between U2 snRNA (in an area lying towards the 5' end but 3' to hairpin I) and the branchpoint sequence (BPS) of the intron results the bulging out of an unpaired adenosine, on the BPS, which initiates a nucleophilic attack at the intronic 5' splice site, thus starting the first of two transesterification reactions that mediate splicing.
Source: Ensembl